RNAcentral lists this ribosomal RNA (246 nucleotides) under uncultured Leptolinea sp. RNAcentral describes it as "partial 16S ribosomal RNA". It matches the Rfam family "Bacterial small subunit ribosomal RNA", at positions 1139 to 1381 of the family's 1533-position model. Lineage: Bacteria; Bacillati; Chloroflexota; Anaerolineae; Anaerolineales; Anaerolineaceae. The record is from RNAcentral.
UCUAAGGUGACUGCCGGCUAAAAGUCGGAGGAAGGUGGGAUGACGUCAAGUCAGCAUGGCCUUUAUGUCCUGGGCUACACGCACGCUACAAUGGCCAACACAAUAGGUUGCUAAGCCGCGAGGUGGAGGCCAAUCCUCAAAAGUUGGCCUCAGUUCAGAUUGCAGGCUGCAACCCGCCUGCAUGAAGAUGGAGUUGCUAGUAACCGCAGGUCAGCUAUACUGCGGUGAAUACCGGUUCCCGGGCUU